CAGCGCCGCGGGAAUACGUAGGUGGCAAACGUUAUCCGGAAUUAUUGGGCGUAAAGCGCGCGUAGGCGGUUUUUUAAGUCUGAUGUGAAAGCCCACGGCUCAACCGUGGAGGGUCAUUGGAAACUGGAAAACUUGAGUGCAGAAGAGGAGAGUGGAAUUCCACGUGUAGCGGUGAAAUGCGUGGAGAUGUGGGGGAACACCUGUGGCGAAGGCGACUCUCUGGUCUGUAACUGACGCUGAGGAGCGAAAGCGUGGGGGGCGAACAGGAUUAGAUACCCGUGUAGUCCCUGUCUCUUAUACA
RNAcentral lists this ribosomal RNA (301 nucleotides) under uncultured bacterium. Its description in RNAcentral is "partial 16S ribosomal RNA". It matches the Rfam family "Bacterial small subunit ribosomal RNA", at positions 509 to 808 of the family's 1533-position model. The record is from RNAcentral.